RNAcentral lists this ribosomal RNA (440 nucleotides) under uncultured Sulfurovum sp. RNAcentral's name for it is "bacterial SSU rRNA". It matches the Rfam family "Bacterial small subunit ribosomal RNA", at positions 338 to 795 of the family's 1533-position model. Lineage: Bacteria; Pseudomonadati; Campylobacterota; Epsilonproteobacteria; Campylobacterales; Sulfurovaceae. The record is from RNAcentral.
CCUACGGGGGGCUGCAGUGGGGAAUAUUACACAAUGGAGGAAACUCUGAUGUAGCAACGCCGCGUGGAGGAUGACACAUUUCGGUGCGUAAACUCCUUUUAUAUGGGAAGAUAAUGACGGUACCAUAUGAAUAAGCACCGGCUAACUCCGUGCCAGCAGCCGCGGUAAUACGGAGGGUGCAAGCGUUACUCGGAAUCACUGGGCGUAAAGCGCGCGCAGGCGGCCCAUUAAGUUGGAUGUGAAAUCCUAUGGCUCAACCAUAGAACUGCAUCCAAAACUGAUGGGCUAGAGUCUGGGAGGGGAAGAUGGAAUUAGUGGUGUAGGGGUAAAAUCCGUAGAGAUCACUAGGAAUACCAAAAGCGAAGGCGAUCUUCUGGAACAGUACUGACGCUGAGGCGCGAAAGCGUGGGGAGCAAACAGGCUUAGAUACCCGAGUAGUC